GGGCCUAUAGCUCAGCUGGUUAGAGCACUUGACUCAUAAUCAAGGGGUCCCUGGUUCGAGCCCAGGUGGGCCCACCC
Molecule: transfer RNA, 77 nt
Filed under: Flammeovirgaceae bacterium
Lineage: Bacteria; Pseudomonadati; Bacteroidota; Cytophagia; Cytophagales; Flammeovirgaceae
Also listed under: 1 other name
Description: tRNA-Met
Rfam family: tRNA
About the family: Transfer RNA (tRNA) molecules are approximately 80 nucleotides in length. Their secondary structure includes four short double-helical elements and three loops (D, anti-codon, and T loops).
Source: RNAcentral